Molecule: ribosomal RNA, 497 nt
Filed under: uncultured bacterium
Lineage: Bacteria
Description: partial 16S ribosomal RNA
Rfam family: Bacterial small subunit ribosomal RNA
Source: RNAcentral
GAUGAACGCUGGCGGCGUGCCUAAUACAUGCAAGUCGAGCGAACAGACGAGGAUCUUGCUCCUCUGAUGUUAGCGGCGGACGGGUGAGUAACACGUGGAUAACCUACCUAUAAGACUGGGAUAACGUCGGGAAACCGGAUCUAAUACCGGAUAACAUGGUGAACCGCAUGGUUCAACAGUGAAAGACGUUCUUGCUGUCACUUAUAGAUGGAUCCGCGCCGCAUUAGCUAGUUGGUAAGGUAACGGCUUACCAAGGCAACGAUGCGUAGCCGACCUGAGAGGGUGAUCGGCCACACUGGAACUGAGACACGGUCCAGACUCCUACGGGAGGCAGCAGUAGGGAAUAUUCCGCAAUGGGCGAAAGCCUGACGGAGCAACGCCGCGUGAGUGAAGAAGGUCUUCGGAUCGUAAAACUCUGUUAGUAGGGAAGAACAAAUGUGUAAGUAACUAUGCACGUCUUGACGGUACCUAAUCAGAAAGCCACGGCUAACUACGUG